Molecule: non-coding RNA, 46 nt
Organism: Aedes aegypti (yellow fever mosquito)
Lineage: Eukaryota; Metazoa; Arthropoda; Insecta; Diptera; Culicidae
Source: Rfam
CAAUCGGCCCUUUUCAGGGUCAACAUACGUUCAUUAAAAGGUUUAU